CUAUUGUACCAUUUCAACUCCUGUUGCAGUUUCCUAACCAGAAAAUAUUGUCAUUUUCAGAUUUCAUCUGCAUUUGAGAGAGCAUACGCGACCAUGGCACGGAGUCGCGAAACACGGCAUUACUCGCAGACAUAAUGGUAUCGUGUCACGCUCGUGGCUACUUACACUGCGACCAGAUAUACAUAACGGAAAGAUCAAAUGGUUUUUGUAUGGAAUGAAUAACGGGUUAGGCAGACACAUGCUAAUGACUUGCAAGGGUGAACUCGGACACAGGGACAAACCUUUUAACGAGCUUCGGUCACUUAUAGUAAAGGAGUCUGAACUUGGAUACAGAAUGGGGCUACCAGAGCAUUUUAUUUAAAUCCACAAUGCUUGUUCUCAUCAGACAACCAUGCCUGAUCAAAUUGGUGCAUAUACAGUCAAGUGUAUUUGACGGAACACGAUGACUGUGGUGUUGUCAAGAUGAAGGCUGUGGACUGUGAUGAGAGACGACAUAGUGUCUCCAUGAAUUAAAUGAGAAAGCAUGGUAAAUCCAUCUUGCAGCGAUGCAUCAGAUGUCAUCUGACGUUGAAGAUGAAAAACCUGGCUUAGCUCUAUCGCAUCUUUAGAUUGUUUUAUAUUCACGAUGACUUUUUUCAUCAAAUGUUCUUUUUGCACGCCACCUGAAAACUAUUGUUUUGUUUGUUUAAACGACGCUUUGUUAAACCUUUCAGUUAAAAUCAUGACGAGAGGCAAGCCUUUGAUGUUGUUGACCAGAUCGGUGAAAGGCGCGGUCAUGGUGCUGAGAAACCAAGCAAUAUAACAAGAGAUCUAGCUUUCGAACCCAGUGUCUGCAGCGCGAUAUAGCAGUUUCUGGGCGCCUAAAACCAUUGGGCCACUCGCAGGCAUCCGACCCCCAUCCGCUAAAAACAUUGUUUUCAUUUUUACGCUCGAUCCUCGUGAUCAAUUAUCUGACAUCUACAACCCUGCCCCCCCCUCAACCAACACACAACAAUAUAAGUAACAGCCGUCCAACCACGGAUUACAUGAAACUGAAAUACAUUCCUGUUUCCGAAUGUCUCGCUGACAGUGUACAAUUAUGCCAUUAUUAUGAUUGUACCCAUGUUCAGGUUCCUCAGAUUACCUAACCACAAUCUAACCCUCUGCAACAGCCCUCAUGACAAGCAUGAGCGUCUUCAUCCUUCCCAUCAACUCUACUCGCUUCUCCACGUAGCCUCAGGUAACGUGCCCUUCCUAUGAAACGUAUCUGUUAGUUCUAUUAUACCCGGCGGCCACGGUCUCGCAGAAAACACGUCCCCCUCUCAAUCCCACCUCACCCCACCCUAAUCUCCACCCAGCCCACCCCACCCAUUAACCAUUACCUACAGAGAUAGACUCCGAACCCCUUUCCGCCCUAAUCCACAAUCUUUCUCUCUUCUUUCUGCCAUUCAGACAACCGCUCCAUUAAAAAACCUCAGAAAAAUGGAAUAUUCCGGUUCUUUCAAAAGGUCAAAAGUAAAAGAAAAUUAAAGGCCUCUUUAUUGUUUAUUGCUAUCAAAGAGUGUCAUUAUUCCAACUGAAAAUUGCAAAUUCCAUGUUCAAAACGUCCAGAAUGCACUGCGACUUUAUGUAAAAGUGGUACCUUAAUGCAGAUGCUGUAGGAGAUGUUUGAAGUGGGAUUAUAUUACAGUAUUGCAUGAUUUGAUCGCUGACAUGUCGGAAACCGGGUUUCAUUCCAUGAUCCAACCCUCUAAGACUCUACUUUUUUCCCAUUUCAAUUCCUUUUGAUUUUUAGAAGUCCUCAAACUUACGAUAAUUAAUACAAAAUCAGAAUAUCGUUCUCAGAAAUGUGAAAUACGCAAUAUUGAAAUAAAUCAUUUGAUGAAAGUAUUUUUUAACUCCAUCUUUUGAAUGAAGCAAUUUCAUGACAUAACCACGGGUAUAUUCAUCAACGGGUCACGCCCACCUUUAAAGUACAUUUGACCCUUUCGUUUCGUUUGAAGUACAAAAUAAGGCUCAAUUCAGGUUUGUGUGGAAUAACAUCAGUAACACAUGGUACAAUAGGGCUUGUCUUUCUGAUUUCAGACAGGAAUUUAUUGAAAAUGUUACGUAAGAAUCUCUUGACCGGAUAACAUGUUAUCAAUUUGUUUAACAACAAAUCAUUCCACACAAACCGGAAGAGCGUUUUAAAAUUCAAUGACCCUUAACAAAUUGUUCCAAUAAAAUCCUAAAUUUCAAAUCAAUCAAUGCCCUUCUUCUAUUCAGUAUUUUCUUUAAAAAGCCCACUUCUUGUUGUAUUGACCACUCCAGUGACCAUCAUUGGGUUGGAGCACAGUUCACGUCGGUCGCGACACGCAGACCAAAGGCUCUCGUUGUUGGUUCACACCCGACACUAGAAAAACCGAUUGCAAUGUUCUUUUCACUGCUUAACGUUUGCCCAGCACACCCGGAACAAAAGCCCUUUAAUUCGGGUAGAUAGGUCGGGAAAUAUCGUGACCCCUCUGUGACUUAUUGGUCAAAGGACAAGGGCCAGUGUGACCCGACGCACGUUUUUUGCACGCUUUGUGUGGUCAAGUCGCCCUGGACACUGGUCAAAAAGCGAUAAAGCCCUCACGGUCACUCGGUGGUCAAGCAAAACAUUGAUAAAGAGAUAAGUGUACGUGCAGUCCAUUUCAAUGGAAACUUGUAUCAGAUUAAGAUGGACCUUCCAUGCCAAAUGGCAAUAAAAGGACUUUAAAAUUAGACUGACAUUUUUAUGAGUCUACCAACGCAUUCGCCAUAGUAUUCUUGAUCAGUAAAACACAUAGCACAACAUAUCCUUCAUAAUGCGUGACAGUAGGAUUAACGAUAAUCCCAACAAAGCAUCAUUCUGGAUUAUUAACUUUCUCAGACAUUCCAUAGAAAUGAAGGCCAUUAGGUAUUCAUGAUUUACUGAGAUAAUACACCCGAUCUCAGCCCUGAUAUUGGCAUUUUGCAUGAAGACCUUCAUAUACCUUAUGUUAAUUACACCAUAAUGACAACACGUUUCAUGAAUACCAAUAUAUCCUUGUUAUGUCCUUUUAAUAUUACAUGUUUCACCUUUAUCAAACAACCGUUGCCAAUACAUAUAAUGCUGCUUGAACAUCUGAUGUAAUUAUUCAACAUCGUAAAACUUUAUCUGAUUAAUUUUCGUAUGAAAUGUAUCUGAAAAACAUCACCGGAAACAAGUUAAGUUUAUCAUGAAAAUUGAUGUCCAACUAAUUAUCGAAGUGAAUGUAUCCGCAUAAUAGUCUGAAAAUAAAUAAGGUAAAUUGGU
Haliotis rubra (blacklip abalone) is the source of this 3274-nucleotide long non-coding RNA. RefSeq lists it as uncharacterized. The transcript is spliced from 3 exons. The record is from RefSeq and is a predicted model, not a curated record. Lineage: Eukaryota; Metazoa; Mollusca; Gastropoda; Lepetellida; Haliotidae.